This 217-nucleotide long non-coding RNA is filed under the name Setaria italica (foxtail millet). RNAcentral describes it as "long non-coding RNA (SITA_LNC001518)". Lineage: Eukaryota; Viridiplantae; Streptophyta; Magnoliopsida; Poales; Poaceae. The record is from RNAcentral.
UUGAUUCCGACGGCUACCUAUGUAUAGUACGCCCACAAGCCACGGUGGAUAGUUCAGAUCAACAGCACUAUGUUCAAAGUCUAAAAGUUGUCCUACUGCUAUCGAGAAGGCUAGUACACUUUUUAAAUUUGCAAAUUCCUCGAAAGAAGAGAGGGUUAUAUAUAUUAUUAUUAGUCUUAGAGUAGCAUUAUCACCUGAAUCGUCCAUUUACUUUUUU